Molecule: ribosomal RNA, 527 nt
Filed under: uncultured bacterium
Lineage: Bacteria
Description: bacterial SSU rRNA
Rfam family: Bacterial small subunit ribosomal RNA
Source: RNAcentral
AAUAGAUACUCCGGUAGUCCACGCCGUAAACGAUGAGUGCUAAGUGUUAGAGGGUUUCCGCCCUUUAGUGCUGCAGCUAACGCAUUAAGCACUCCGCCUGGGGAGUACGGCCGCAAGGCUGAAACUCAAAGGAAUUGACGGGGGCCCGCACAAGCGGUGGAGCAUGUGGUUUAAUUCGAAGCAACGCGAAGAAUCUUACCAGGUCUUGACAUCCUCUGCCAACCCUAGAGAUAGGGCGUUCCCUUUCGGGGGACAGAGUGACAGGUGGUGCAUGGUUGUCGUCAGCUCGUGUCGUGAGAUGUUGGGUUAAGUCCCGCAACGAGCGCAACCCUUGAUCUUAGUUGCCAGCAUUCAGUUGGGCACUCUAAGGUGACUGCCGGUGACAAACCGGAGGAAGGUGGGGAUGACGUCAAAUCAUCAUGCCCCUUAUGACCUGGGCUACACACGUGCUACAAUGGAUGGUACAAAGAGCUGCGAACCCGCGAGGGUAAGCGAAUCUCAUAAAGCCAUUCUCAGUUCGGAUUGGU